This 497-nucleotide ribosomal RNA is filed under the name uncultured bacterium. RNAcentral describes it as "partial 16S ribosomal RNA". It matches the Rfam family "Bacterial small subunit ribosomal RNA", at positions 28 to 507 of the family's 1533-position model. The record is from RNAcentral.
GAUGAACGCUGGCGGCGUGCCUAACACAUGCAAGUCGAGCGGACGGACGAGACGCUUGCUUCUCUGACGUUAGGGGAGGACGGGUGAGUCACACGUGGAUAACCUACCUAUAAGACUGAGAUCACUUCGGGAAACCGGAUCUAACCCCGGAUGAUAUUUUGAACCGCAUGGGUCGAAAGUGAAAGACGGUCUUGCUGGCACUUAUAGAUGGUUCCGCGCUGCAUUAGCUAGUUGGUAAGGUAACGGCUUACCAAGGCAACGAUGCAUAGCCGACCUGCGAGGGUGAUAGGCCACAUGGGAACGUGGACACGGUCAAGACGCCUACGGGAGGCAGCAGUAGGGAAUCGGCGGCAAUGGGCGAAAGUCUGACGGAGCAACGGCGCGUGUGUGACGAAGGUGUUCGGAGCGUAAAGCUCUGUUAUGAGGGAAGAACAGAUGUGUAAGGAGCUGUGCAGUGCGUGACGGUACUGAGUCAGAAAGCCACGGCUAACUACGUG